RNAcentral lists this ribosomal RNA (299 nucleotides) under uncultured bacterium. RNAcentral describes it as "partial 16S ribosomal RNA". It matches the Rfam family "Bacterial small subunit ribosomal RNA", at positions 475 to 776 of the family's 1533-position model. The record is from RNAcentral.
CUAUGCGCCUUGCCAGCCCGCUCAGGUGUGCCAGCAGCCGCGGUAAUACGUAGGUGGCAAGCGUUAUCCGGAUUUAUUGGGCGUAAAGCGAGCGCAGGCGGUUGCUUAGGUCUGAUGUGAAAGCCUUCGGCUUAACCGAAGAAGUGCAUCGGAAACCGGGCGACUUGAGUGCAGAAGAGGACAGUGGAACUCCAUGUGUAGCGGUGGAAUGCGUAGAUAUAUGGAAGAACACCAGUGGCGAAGGCGGCUGUCUGGUCUGCAACUGACGCUGAGGCUCGAAAGCAUGGGUAGCGAACAGG